Molecule: ribosomal RNA, 309 nt
Filed under: uncultured bacterium
Lineage: Bacteria
Description: bacterial SSU rRNA
Rfam family: Bacterial small subunit ribosomal RNA
Source: RNAcentral
CUAAUACCGCAUGAUACCUGAGGGUCAAAGGCGCAAGUCGCCUUAGGAGGAGCCUGCGUCUGAUUAGCUUGUUGGUGGGGUAAAGCCUACAAGGCACGAUCAGUAGCUGGUCUGAGAGGAUGAUCAGCCACAUUGGGACUGAGACACGGCCCAAACUCCUACGGGAGGCAGCAGUGGGGAAUAUUGGACAAUGGGCGAAAGCCUGAUCCAGCAAUGCCGCGUGUGUGAAGAAGGUCUUCGGAUUGUAAAGCACUUUUGGCAGGGACGAUGAUGACGGUACCUGCAGAAUAAGCCCCGGCUAACUUCGUG